This is a non-coding RNA of Taeniopygia guttata (zebra finch), 3229 nucleotides long. NCBI's taxonomy places the organism in Eukaryota, Metazoa, Chordata, Aves, Passeriformes, Estrildidae. The record is from RefSeq and is a predicted model, not a curated record.
UUUGAGGUAGAAUUCAGUAACAAGCUCAAAACCUAUCUUCUACUUAAAAUGGUAAAAAGCUAAAUGCAAUUAUUAGGAAAUCUUUUAGUAGGACUUUCAGUCGAUUUUCAAAUAUUUGGGUGUGCUUGACUGAAAACUAAAAAAAAAAAUAUCCCAACUGUUCUGAAUGUUCUUCCCCUUGUCUUCUAAGGUGUAUUAUGGCAAAUAUUAGUAAUGACUCCUAUACUCUCAAAUAUAAGAGAGGCAUGCAGUGCAGUCUUUUACAUCAAGUUCCUGCAACAGAGACUGUUUGUAACAGAAUUCAAGGCCACCAAAAUACAGAAUGGGUUUUCUUUCUUACUUGAAAUAUGGUUUCAAUCUGGUUGAAUCACCAACCAUUUAAAAUUACUGUUUUCUUUGUCUUUCUAGUACUCCAAAGAGAGCAAUAACAGAAUGCCAAUGACUUUUCUGGGUCAAACUCAUGUCUUCACCAGGGCAAAGGAACAAUACUGGCAUGUGGACAGACUACCUGUGGACAUCAGAGCAUCCUCAGAAAACCCAUGGGAGAAAAGCAGACAGCUGGGCCACAAGCAUACAUUAAAAAUUUCAAAUAUAUUCAGUGUUCUGACCAAUUUAUCAUCAACUUUUUGAGUGGGCAACAGAGAACACAGAAAUUUUACAAUGUAACCCAAGUUUUCUAGCAUAAAAUUACAGAUCCAAGAUAAAGUUUUACAUAAGCUUUGGUUAAGCAUUCAAAGAUAAAUGAGUUGCUCAACUUUUUGAAGAUCACCCACGGCUAAUUAAAGACCUGCCAAGGCUUUACUAACAAUUAAAAACUUGUCUUUAAAAUCCCCAAAGAGGAAAAUGCAAACAGCUGUUUUAAUUAGCAAAACAGCAGAUACUAAUUAGCUUCUGUAACAGAGUAUGCUGGUCCUUUAAGGACAGGACCAGUUUCAGCCCAAGUUUGUUACCCAUUUAAGCUACAAGUAGAAGGAUUGGAAUCAGAUGCUGCAGGAAAAGCUAAUUCCUUGCAAAAUCAGUAUUUCCCAACGUCAAGUACACAAAAGAGAGAUUUUUAUUUUGAGUAAACUUUCAUGUUUUUCCAUCUUUUAGUUUCUUAUCUUUCCAGAACUGAGUUGUGUACAGAUAUCUGAGCAGAAACUGAGAGUACUUGAAAUGUCUUGUGAUGAUCCCAUGGGGAUGAAAAUUGUGACAUCUCACCUUCUGGGCAAAAGGCCACUGGAUCUGGACAGCGUAACACUAAUAUGUGCACAUUUGCACAGCAAGCCCAUGGAGUUCAGGCUGCAUCAAGUCUGCUGUGAAAUCUGAUUUGGGCACCUGAUGUAGAGUUGUUGCAACUGACCACAUCUUUCAAUUCUCCCAAUCUUUGGGACUGGUUCUGAACAACUAAGAAAUCUCAGAUGAAAGAGAAAGGAAUAGAGAGAACAGGAGAGGCUGGAAUUAGCCUUUUGCUAUGUUCAGAUCCUUGGAUAGCAGGAGAUAUGCUCUUACAAGAUAAUCAACAUCCACUGAUUGUCAGUACACUGCCAUUUCUAGAAAUCUGUUUAAAAGCUAAAAAAAAAUAAGUCCCAUCCCAUAAGACCUCUAUGUCUACAGCUAGGCAUUUUGCUAUUAGUGGGGUCAGUUGCUGCAGGCAUGAUUGAUAAUAAACAGGAACAUGCUGCAAAUAGAAGAUAUAAUGUAUAAGUGCCAAAUGUGAGAUUUAAUACAAGAGUUUAAAAAUCAAUCUAUUUUUACUAUCUACACAGAGUGAAAGAGUAACUGAAAAUAUAGGUAUGAAAUAAUAAACUCAAAUAACUACAAAAAUAGUAUAUCAAAUAAGUUUGAUAACAGUGGUAUUAAAUAAUUCUGAUAUAUGUGUUUGAAAACACCAGGCAGUGGUGAAGUCUUUCUUCCAAACAUCUGGAAGACACUUAUCUUUCAGGAGUUGUGUUUGAAAAAUCUAAAACUGUUGUGCUGGUAUUACAACACUGUAGGCCAGUACAGGUCAAUAGGUGUAACUGGAGCAUGACAAAGGCUUCUCUUUUACCACUCUGUGUGUACUGCACAUUUUACAUUCAUUGCUCAGCUACCAAGAGCAGGCAGCAUUAAAACACCACCCUUCAAAAACCAGUCUGGGAUUCUGGUUACUGAAUGGUGCUCUAACGAAAACAAACAACAUUUAUUGAUUAACACAAGGAUUCUAUUAUAUUGACAAAAUAUAGACAUAACUAUGACUGUACCCCCACAAGCAGGACUGUUAAACUCAUUUCUCUCAAAUCUCUAGCAAUAUUAUGGGAUUCAGCUAACCACUAAUACAGUUACCCAGGAACUCAUGUUUCUAUUUCUGCUCACGCUUUCCAUGACAUAUUUCAAUAACUCUGCUGCACCUGGUAAAUGUUUGCUAAAUAUUUUUUUUGUCUUUGUAUAGCAUUUCAACAUCUGAUUUUCAAAACAAGAGGAGGACAUCAUGUUUUCUUUCCCUUUGAGACAACUACUUUGCAGUGGUAAAGGAAAAGAAAAAAAAUCUGCAAAGACUCUGCUAUAUGAAGAUCUUCAGAGUAAAAUACCUACUUCAUAGAAGAAUAAAAGUACUCCAUCAGAAGAAGUUUCAACUUGGAAAAAAAUUAAUCUAAAACAAAUUUAUGGUUAAAAGUCACAUUCUGUACCAUGCAAAGUAAAUUUCUGAAGAAGUAAUAUUUUUGAAGAAUAUAUUUACAGCAUGUUCUCCAUCCAUUCACUCACUAUCCCUAGUCAACCAAAUCACACACUUUGCUUUUUUCCUUUUCUCAAUUCCAUCUUCAUUUUUUUUUUUUAGUUCUGUACAUAAUUAUGCAGUAUCACACAAGUAGUUUCAGUUCUAGAUGAAAUAUUCUACAAAGCUGAAUAUUUCACCUUAGUGAAAUAUUUCAUCUGGAGUAAUACCAGUUUGUAUAGGAUAAACUGUGUAUUAUAACCUACAUUUCUACAUCUGUGAAGUACUCAAAACUAGCACGUGUCUGAAUAUACCCACACAUCAUUUACAGCAGGAGUGGCAGGCCGAGAGAUGUCUUUGUAAAAGAGCAAACCAAAUCCCUCACUCAGUAAAUGGCAAAGCCGAGGGUCCCAUCAGCCUGUCUCCCCACAAGGUACUCAGGAAAACACGAAGCAAAAUCAGCCCAACUGUACCUGGUUGGAAUUGGAACUUCAGCCAGUCCUGUAAGCAGCACUGCAGGAGACAACCUAACAAAAGCCACCACAGCACGGUCCA